This 438-nucleotide ribosomal RNA is filed under the name Triticum aestivum (bread wheat). RNAcentral describes it as "partial small subunit ribosomal RNA". Lineage: Eukaryota; Viridiplantae; Streptophyta; Magnoliopsida; Poales; Poaceae. The record is from RNAcentral.
AUGACCAGAGACAACCAGAGGAAAAGACAUAUUAUUAAACCCCUUGACUGUGUUUUGUGCUUUGAGCAUGAAACCAUCUCUCACCUGUUCUUUGAGUGUGUUGUAGCAAAAUAUGCCUGGUCGUUUAUAAUUGACCACUUCAGGGUCCAGACAGGGACUGAUUUUGAAUUGGUAGCCAGAUUCUGGAUCUCUAACAAGAAGAACUCGGCUUUAAAUAUAGUUUCUUCAGCAGUCAUGUGGUGUUUGUGGAAGUAUAGGAAGUCUAUAAUCUUUAACAACACCAUUUGGACAUCUAUUUCGCAGGUUUGGAGGCUGAUCCUUAGAACACUCAAAUUCUGGGUGAUCCUGGGUCCAGAAAGUGGCAGGGCACGUCUAGGGAGCUUCAUGACAGCGCUAGCUACGUUCUCCCAGCUGCCGCUGAGGAUAACGAGUUGCUGA